Molecule: long non-coding RNA, 1583 nt
Filed under: Mytilus galloprovincialis (Mediterranean mussel)
Lineage: Eukaryota; Metazoa; Mollusca; Bivalvia; Mytilida; Mytilidae
Source: RNAcentral
UGUGGACUUUGUACUAGUGUGUCAUUGCAGUUAUCUGUUUAACUAUUACAUUUUUAAAGACUAUUUACACCGUCUGCCGUUGACCAAUUGGUGAUAACAUACAUCAAGCCUGUCUCUUUUAAAAUGACAAAAAAUAGAUAGAGAAAACUUUGUUUAAAAACUUUAGGUAUUGAGGAAAGAAUUCACGAAAUUAUACCCCGCCACUUCUAUAGUCCAUGUUUUGGAAUAAAAUAAACCACCAGAAAAACUAAAUUAUAGGUGCACAGGGGCAUCAUUUAAUAACGAAUACGAGGAAGUUUUAUUAAUACUAGUAUAUGGUAAGUUUUUGAAAGUUGCGUAUAGUAAACGGGUACCACCCAAUAAGGUAGUGGAAAAGUCCUUAUCAUGGAAAUAAAAAACUGAUGAUUUUUCGAAAAACCAAAUAAGAGGUACACAAUUGAAUUAAAUGAUAAGGAAUCUGAAAAAGAUUCAUUAAGUUAUGACACUUGUCUGAAGGAAGUUGUGAAUAUAAAAUAGGUACGCCCAAUAUAAGGUUAUGACAAAGUCCGUAUUUAAGAUAUAGAAACAUCAAAAAUAUUUUUACCAAAAAUUCGAAAUAGAAGCUCCAUAAUACAUUAAUUGAUUAAAAAUGGAGCAAUUUUAGAAAAGUUUAACAAUUGGUUUUGAGGGUCACGGUUGGAAAUACCUGAUGGGUGCCCCCAUAUAAUGCAAUGUUCGAGUCCGUAUCUUAUAUAAAGAAACCCCAUAAAAGAUUUUUAAUAAAAUUCGAAAAACAUUCCUCUUUUUUAAUAAAUAAGGCCGUUAAUUUUCUCGUUUGAAUUGUUUUACAUUGUCAUUUCGGGGGCUUUUAUAGCUGACUUUGUGGUAUCGGCUUUGCUUAUUGCUGAAGGCCAUGCGGUGACCUAUAUUUGUUAAUGUCUGUGUCAUUUUGAUUUCUUGUGGACGGUUGUCUUAUUGGCAAUCAUACCGCAUCUUCUUUUUUAUAUUAUAAUUUAUGAUACGGAAUCCGAGAAAAAAAUAAAUUAACAGUUGUACCAGUGAAGGAUUCAAGAAAAUUGGGAUCCGGCGGUUUGAAACUCUUUUUUAACUUUCAAUGCAUUUGUAUGGGAACAUAUAUUUAGAAUCCUCUUUUCUCCUGGAUUGGACCCCCUCUCCAUUUAAAAAUGUCUGGAAACCCCAAUGUAUAUUAAGUGGUUUAUGAGGAGAUGCGCUUGCAAAACCGGCGAAACAUGUUGUACGGUCCAACGGACGAACGGAAAGACGGACUUCAUUAUCACUAUAAACCAUCGCUUUACAAAGUGGUGUACAAUUGAGUGUGAAAGAGACAGAUCUACAUCCAAAAAAAAGUGAAGGAACUGUGAUCAAUUAUAGGCUACAGUACGGCCUCGAAUGUUUGUAAAUACAUGCAUUUUUAUAUAACAAUUAAAUCUGUGUGUUUGUACAAUUUUAAGUAUAACGGAGGACAUUUCUGAAACUUAUAUAAACAAACAAACCUUCUUCUUAUUUCAGCCACAUUCAAACAUCCUUAUACUUAAUGUAGUAAGUCGAGUACACCCUAUCAAGCUAAAACAUGUUUGAAAAGU